CAGCAGUAGCCGCGGUAAUACAGAGGGUGCAAGCGUUAAUCGGAAUUACUGGGCGUAAAGCGCGCGUAGGUGGUUCGCCAAGUUGGAUGUGAAACCCCCGGGCUCAACCUGGGAACUGCAUCCAAAACUGGCGAGCUAGAGUAUGGUAGAGGGUGGUGGAAUUUCCUGUGUAGCGGUGAAAUGCGUAGAUAUAGGAAGGAACAUCAGUGGCGAAGGCGACCACCUGGACUGAUACUGACACUGAGGUGCGAAAGCGUGGGGAGCAAACAGGAUUAGAUACCCCCGUAGUCCCUGUCUCUUAUAC
RNAcentral lists this ribosomal RNA (304 nucleotides) under uncultured bacterium. RNAcentral's name for it is "partial 16S ribosomal RNA". It matches the Rfam family "Bacterial small subunit ribosomal RNA", at positions 506 to 807 of the family's 1533-position model. The record is from RNAcentral.